Molecule: ribosomal RNA, 213 nt
Filed under: Lacticaseibacillus paracasei
Lineage: Bacteria; Bacillati; Bacillota; Bacilli; Lactobacillales; Lactobacillaceae
Description: partial 16S ribosomal RNA
Rfam family: Bacterial small subunit ribosomal RNA
Source: RNAcentral
GGCGAUGAUACGUAGCCGAACUGAGAGGUUGAUCGGCCACAUUGGGACUGAGACACGGCCCAAACUCCUACGGGAGGCAGCAGUAGGGAAUCUUCCACAAUGGACGCAAGUCUGAUGGAGCAACGCCGCGUGAGUGAAGAAGGCUUUCGGGUCGUAAAACUCUGUUGUUGGAGAAGAAUGGUCUGGUGAGAGUAACUGUUGUAGGCGUGACGU